Molecule: ribosomal RNA, 440 nt
Filed under: uncultured bacterium
Lineage: Bacteria
Description: partial 16S ribosomal RNA
Rfam family: Bacterial small subunit ribosomal RNA
Source: RNAcentral
CCUACGGGAGGCAGCAGUGGGGAAUAUUGCACAAUGGGGGAAACCCUGAUGCAGCGACGCCGCGUGAGUGAAGAAGUAUUUCGGUACGUAAAGCUCUAUCAGCAGGGAAGAAAAUGACGGUACCUGACUAAGAAGCCCCGGCUAACUGCGUGCCAGCAGCCGCGGUAAUACGUAGGGGGCAAGCGUUAUCCGGAUUUACUGGGUGUAAAGGGAGCGUAGACGGCAGCGCAAGUCUGGAGUGAAAUCCCAUGGCUUAACCAUGGAACUGCUUUGGAAACUGUGCAGCUAGAGUGCAGGAGAGGUAAGCGGAAUUCCUAGUGUAGCGGUGAAAUGCGUAGAUAUUAGGAGGAACACCAGUGGCGAAGGCGGCUUACUGGACUGUAACUGACGUUGAGGCUCGAAAGCGUGGGGAGCAAACAGGAUUAGAUACCCGAGUAGUC